This 77-nucleotide transfer RNA is filed under the name Bacteroidota bacterium. Its description in RNAcentral is "Bacteroidetes bacterium (hydrothermal vent metagenome) tRNA-Arg". It matches the Rfam family "tRNA". From Rfam's summary of the family: Transfer RNA (tRNA) molecules are approximately 80 nucleotides in length. The record is from RNAcentral. Lineage: Bacteria; Pseudomonadati; Bacteroidota.
GCGCCCGUAGCUCAAGUGGAUAGAGCGUUUGGCUACGGACCAAAAGGUUGGGGGUUCGAAUCCUCCCGGGCGUACCA